AGAGUUUGAUCCUGGCUCAGGAUGACCUUUGGCGGCGUGCCUAACACAUGCAAGUCGAACGGUUAAACCGCCCUCGGAGCGGACAUACAGUGGCGAACGGGUGAGUAACACGUGACCAACCUGCCCCGCGCUCCGGGACAACCGCUGGAAACGGCGGCUAAUACCGGAUACUCCGCGGCCCCCCGCAUGGGGGCGGCGGGAAAGCCCCGACGGCGCGGGAUGGGGUCGCGGCCCAUUAGGUAGUAGGCGGGGUAGAGGCCCACCUAGCCGACGAUGGGUAGCCGGACUGAGAGGUCGAUCGGCCACAUUGGGACUGAGAUACGGCCCAGACUCCUACGGGAGGCAGCAGUGGGGAAUUUUGCGCAAUGGGGGAAACCCUGACGCAGCAACGCCGCGUGCGGGACGAAGGCCCUCGGGUCGUAAACCGCUUUCAGCAGGGAAGACCACGACGGUACCUGCAGAAGAAGCUCCGGCUAACUACGUGCCAGCAGCCGCGGUAAUACGUAGGGGGCGAGCGUUAUCCGGAUUCAUUGGGCGUAAAGCGCGCGUAGGCGGCCGCCUAAGCGGAACCUCUAACCCCGGGGCUCAACCUCGGGCCGGGUUCCGGACUGGGCGGCUCGAGUGCGGUAGAGGAGAGCGGAAUUCCCGGUGUAGCGGUGGAAUGCGCAGAUAUCGGGAAGAACACCGAUGGCGAAGGCAGCUCUCUGGGCCGUCACUGACGCUGAGGCGCGAAAGCUGGGGGAGCGAACAGGAUUAGAUACCCUGGUAGUCCCAGCCGUAAACGAUGGAUGCUAGGUGUGGGGGGAUCCCCCCUCCGUGCCGCAGCCAACGCAUUAAGUAUCCCGCCUGGGGAGUACGGCCGCAAGGCUAAAACUCAAAGGAAUUGACGGGGGCCCGCACAAGCAGCGGAGCAUGUGGCUUAAUUCGAAGCAACGCGAAGAACCUUACCAGGGCUUGACAUGCGCCUGAAGCCGCGGAGACGCGGUGGCCGAGAGGAGGGCGCGCAGGUGGUGCAUGGCUGUCGUCAGCUCGUGUCGUGAGAUGUUGGGUUAAGUCCCGCAACGAGCGCAACCCCCGUCCCGUGUUGCCAGCAUUAGGUUGGGGACUCGCGGGAGACUGCCGGCGUCAAGCCGGAGGAAGGUGGGGACGACGUCAAGUCAUCAUGCCCCUUAUGCCCUGGGCUGCACACGUGCUACAAUGGCCGGUACAGAGGGUUGCCACCCCGCGAGGGGGAGCGGAUCCCGGAAAGCCGGCCCCAGUUCGGAUCGCAGGCUGCAACCCGCCUGCGUGAAGCCGGAGUUGCUAGUAAUCGCGGAUCAGCACGCCGCGGUGAAUACGUUCCCGGGCCUUGCACACAACGCCCGUCA
RNAcentral lists this ribosomal RNA (1367 nucleotides) under uncultured bacterium. Its description in RNAcentral is "16S ribosomal RNA". It matches the Rfam family "Bacterial small subunit ribosomal RNA". The record is from RNAcentral.